Molecule: RNA transcript, 643 nt
Organism: Magallana angulata
Lineage: Eukaryota; Metazoa; Mollusca; Bivalvia; Ostreida; Ostreidae
Exons: 3
Source: RefSeq, a predicted model, not a curated record
AGAUUUAAUGUACAUGUAUAACUAAUUAUUCUUAGUUUGUCGUUUAUUGCCCCAUAAUAAGAGUUAUAUAAAAAUAUUAAGUAGAUUUUAAUUUCAUCUUUGAAAUCUACAGACAUUUCAAAAGUUGACUGAAAGGCGUGUAAAUUAGGCGAAGUAGUGUUGAGGACAUGUUAAGUUUAACUGUUAUACAGCAGGCAAAACGUCUACAUCACUCAAGCACCAGGUUUGUCAAAAAAGUUAUUAUUUAAUAUUGAGGAAGAAGAACCAUAACUAUUGACACUGUAUAUAUGUGUUUUUUCUGUAAUUCAGAAAAUUUUGCACCAAAAGAUGGCAUUACUACGCUGCUCAGAAUUACUGUACAUGGUAUACCGUAGCAUGGGUUGUUUGGUGCAUUCUGCCGGAAACCAUGUAAAGCUGGGUAUGACUGCACGUCACCAGAUGAAUGUACCCCGAACCCCAAUUCUAUAGCCUCUAUAAGUAAUGGCAACAGCAAUGGCACUGUUAACAACAUCAUUACUAACAGUACUGAAUCCAAAGUAGAGGUCAACUAGCUCCUUUCCAGAAACCAAAAACUAUAAGAGGGACUAAAGAUAUAUCAAAAGAUUAACACUUGUCCUGCUACUUGUCACAUCCGGAUGUCAAU